GAUGAACGCUGGCGGCGUGCCUAAUACAUGCAAGUCGAGCGAACGGACGAGAAGCUUGCUUCUCUGAUGUUAGCGGCGGACGGGUGAGUAACACGUGGAUAACCUACCUAUAAGACUGGGAUAACUUCGGGAAACCGGAGCUAAUACCGGAUAAUAUUUUGAACCGCAUGGUUCAAAAGUGAAAGACGGUCUUGCUGUCACUUAUAGAUGGAUCCGCGCUGCAUUAGCUAGUUGGUAAGGUAACGGCUUACCAAGGCAACGAUGCAUAGCCGACCUGAGAGGGUGAUCGGCCACACUGGAACUGAGACACGGUCCAGACUCCUACGGGAGGCAGCAGUAGGGAAUCUUCCGCAAUGGGCGAAAGCCUGACGGAGCAACGCCGCGUGAGUGAUGAAGGUCUUCGGAUCGUAAAACUCUGUUAUUAGGGAAGAACAUAUGUGUAAGUAACUGUGCACAUCUUGACGGUACCUAAUCAGAAAGCCACGGCUAACUACGUGCCAGCAGCCGCGGUAAUACGUAGGUGGCAAGCGUUAUCCGGAAUUAUUGGGCGUAAAGCGCGCGUAGGCGGUUUUUUAAGUCUGAUGUGAAAGCCCACGGCUCAACCGUGGAGGGUCAUUGGAAACUGGAAAACUUGAGUGCAGAAGAGGAAAGUGGAAUUCCAUGUGUAGCGGUGAAAUGCGCAGAGAUAUGGAGGAACACCAGUGGCGAAGGCGACUUUCUGGUCUGUAACUGACGCUGAUGUGCGAAAGCGUGGGGAUCAAACAGGAUUAGAUACCCUGGUAGUCCACGCCGUAAACGAUGAGUGCUAAGUGUUAGGGGGUUUCCGCCCCUUAGUGCUGCAGCUAACGCAUUAAGCACUCCGCCUGGGGAGUACGACCGCAAGGUUGAAACUCAAAGGAAUUGACGGGGACCCGCACAAGCGGUGGAGCAUGUGGUUUAAUUCGAAGCAACGCGAAGAACCUUACCAAAUCUUGACAUCCUUUGACGACUCUAGAGAUAGAGCUUUCCCCUUCGGGGGACAAAGUGACAGGUGGUGCAUGGUUGUCGUCAGCUCGUGUCGUGAGAUGUUGGGUUAAGUCCCGCAACGAGCGCAACCCUUAAGCUUAGUUGCCAUCAUUAAGUUGGGCACUCUAAGUUGACUGCCGGUGACAAACCGGAGGAAGGUGGGGAUGACGUCAAAUCAUCAUGCCCCUUAUGAUUUGGGCUACACACGUGCUACAAUGGACAAUACAAAGGGCAGCGAAACCGCGAGGUCAAGCAAAUCCCAUAAAGUUGUUCUCAGUUCGGAUUGUAGUCUGCAACUCGACUACAUGAAGCUGGAAUCGCUAGUAAUCGUAGAUCAGCAUGCUACGGUGAAUACGUUCCCGGGUCU
This 1372-nucleotide ribosomal RNA is filed under the name uncultured bacterium. RNAcentral describes it as "bacterial SSU rRNA". It matches the Rfam family "Bacterial small subunit ribosomal RNA", at positions 28 to 1381 of the family's 1533-position model. The record is from RNAcentral.